AGGAGCCUCUGCUUUCCCACACCUGGGGUCUCCUGGGUAUUCCGCACUGCUCACCUGUCUACCCCUCCGGGGCCUAGCACCCCAUCAGUGUCUCCAUCACUGCUGCAUCCCUGGUGCCUGGCACAUAGUAGGUGCUCAGUAAUGGCCGCUAAAUGAGCAGUAAAUACUUGCCGCACUUUGCCCUGGGCAGUGUUCCCACAGCUUCUCUAAAUGACCUUAUUUCAAUUUCACAGCUGUCCUCGAGGCGGGCAAAACUAGUGUAUGCAUUUGAUAGGUGGGAAGACUGAGGCCCCGAGAGGUUCAGUGACUUCCCCAAGGUCACAUGGCGAGUCAGCGGUAGAGCUGCGAUCUGAACCUGACUCUGGAACUGCACUCCACGCUCCCUUACCUAUUCCCGGUGGCCUCGGCUCUGAAGGGCAGGAACUGGGUCCUGUGCCCCUUGGAACCUCCACCAUAUAUACCAUCAUGUAAACGUGUUUGUUGAGUGAAUAAAUGAGUGAAUUAUGCACUCCUUGUCCUUUAAAACACAGUACAGUCAACCAGUCUGCUGGCACAAAUCUGGAGUGUUUCUGGUCGGGGAUGAAGGGGAGAGAGGAGUGAAUCUCCUGGGGGACCCAGAGGUGACAAGCCUCUCAGUAGUUCCAACUCGGGGGCCAUUACUAGGGACCCUCUGAUCUCCCCCCCCCUCCUUGCUCACCAGUCUGUUAUAUUGGGGUUCUCUGUCAUGUAUACAGAGGGCACAGAGCCAUGAUUUGGUUUUAUGUGGUGUCUUGAGACUUUCCAGUGAGAUAAGUGGAUUACUGUUGACCCAACAUCUGGGCAAAAAGAGCCUGCUAUGCGUGGUCAUCCAAGUCAGCUUCUGGAGGUGGCCAAAGUGAGACAUGAAGGGAAGGGGGCCAUGAUGGACCCUGCACCUGUGGCCAGUGAGAGCAGCAUUUGCUGUAUGCAAGUAUGGUUCUGAGCUCUUGACGCAUUUAAUCCUGAGCACAGCUCCACGAAAUUGUGCCGGUGAAUGAGGCCAAGUAAUGUGCCCAAAGUCACACAGCAGCAGGAGUUGGGCAGGGAAUUCAGCCUUCACCACGCCGUGCCCUUAACCCUGGGGCAACGCUGCUUCCCUGUGGCACAGCGGGCUAACCCGCUGUGAGCACAUGAGUGGGUGUUGGGGGAGAAUCCACGGAUCUGCACUGCCUGGUGCCUCCUACAGGGGGCUACGGCCCAUGGGCCCCCGAUUCAUCCGCAUCAGAUGACGUCCCCUUCUCACUCCCGUGGAGCGUGGCUGGGCCCCGAGUACGCACUCCAAACACAUUCAUAAAACCAGUGACCGAACAGACGUCUGGGGGUGGGGGGAACAGCCAUUAUGGAAGUUCGAGGCCUUGGAGUUCACACCCUCACAAUCCUACGUGUGCAUCCACUUCUCCCAAAUACAUCAUCUCAGAUCUGCUUGAGAAGAGAUGUCCAAUGCCAGCUCCGUGGCCCAUUAAAGCUAACCAGCCGUGCGGAGUUAGCGGAAAUGAUGAAAAUAGUUGAAGGGUCGGGUGGUUUUAUGGGAAGGCUUACAUCUUAAUGAAAUGCCAGCCCAGAGCAACAGUGACCAUGUGAGAUGCCACAAAGCUGGCAGAUCCCUGGCCACUCCUCGCUGCUUUUGCCAUUUUCGAUGUGAAGCGGGUGUGGCUUGGCUCAGGUGACCACCAGGGAACCAGGGAGGCCUCGGGGCCUCCGUGUGACCCCAGAGGUCAUCCAGGAGCCAGAAGAAGAUGGGCCAGGGCUGAUCAGGGCAGUGGUAGAGAAAAGCAACACCAUUUCCCACUCCAAUGGCAAAGUCCAGGCCCUCUAGGAAUCAUUCAGAUAAGUAAAGGCAGCGGGCAGUUAGACGCUUCCUACUUGUUUAAUCUUCCCAGGAAUCAGUUCAGGUGAGACUUACUGUCUCCAUCUUAUGCACGAAGGAACUAAACAGGCUCCGAGAGGCCAAGUGCCUCACCAAAGGCCACACAGCGGGUAGGUGACAGAUAUCACAGGAUUAGGACCAAAGCGGGUUCCAUUACUCACGUUCCAAGAGGAAGCACUGCCCAACAUCAGGAGGGAACCCCAAAUAUGGCCUCAGGGUGGUCAGUGCUUUCUUAACAGUAUGGUUUUGCCAGGACCUCCACUCAAGGUCUAGGACUCUGCCUCCGACUGCCUGAUCUCCCAGAACUUUGAGCCGCUGGGUCUGUCACUCCAGGUAAGCCCCCGUGGCCACGGACGAGACGAUGGAGCCCUUGGCUCGCUGCCAGCUGGCCUCAGAAUGUGGCUCAGCAAGACCCGCGAGGGACCCGUACCUCCCCACGCUGUGUGCCAGCCUGGCCUGUCACAGCCUGCAGCCAAGCUCCCGGGUCCUUCACCCAGGGAGCCCAGGGGACCAGCCCCUCAUGCUGCCACUGAUACCUUACAGCCUUGAAAUUCUAAAAACCUAGAAAAUCACAGCACGGUACAAACGAAACGAAAGUCACCCAUAAUCUCACCACCUGGAAUGAACCACUCUGCCUUUUUGUGAAUUUUCUACUGGUCGUUUUUUCAAGGCAUUUUGUGUUAGCUUUUUCGUGACCACUGUUUCAUGAGCAUCCUUCUGCCUCAUGUUUUAAAAACUCUACUUUUGUUUUUUGAGAGAGAGAGAGAGACAGAGAGAGAGAGAGAGAGAGAGAGAGAGAGACAGCAGGAGCCAGGGAGGGGCAGAGGAAGAGACGGAGAGACUCUUAAGCAGGCUCCACAUUUAGCGUGGAGCCCCAAUGUGGGGCUUCGAUCUUGCGAUGCUGGGAUCACGACCUGACACAGAACCAAGAGUCAAUGCUCAACCGACUGAGCCUCCCAGGCGUUCUCCUUUUUAAUCACUCCCUUCAACACCAGUAUGUGGCUGGGAUGUAAAUCAUGAAUGGAAACCCCUAUUUUCAGAGAGCAGUGUUCUUGCUGACACUUGGGGGUGCGAGAGCUAUGUUGUCAGCCGUUUCCUCGUUUCCGUCUACGAGGAGAUCCUUCAGGAGUAUUGCAAGAGGCAGAAUUAUGGGUCAGAACUGUGGACACUUCGGGGGCCCCUUCGUUACAAAUGCCCACACCGCCCUCCGGUCUGCAGUCCCCAGGCUGCGAUGAGCGUGUUCCCUGUGUUACCAGGCAGCCACGCACAGCCAUCUCCCCUCCUGCAAACACUCCCCUUCUGAGGGAAUGUCCUCACUCCUCUGCUGACUCAGCCUUCGGUGGGAGCCUCCCUUACCAGCUCAGGGUGGACACAUAGCCCUCUGAGUUUAGAAUCCUGAGCCGAAUGGCUGCAAGGUCGAGAAGCCAUGGGACACACCUUUGCAUGUGCGUGUAGGCUCUCCAGGCGUUCUUAGCGCGGCCAAAGCUUGAAAACACCACAGGGAUCCAAACAGGGCACGGUGCUAAAUAGGUUUGCAAUAUUUUGUCACCUGGAAAACGCCUACACCUGUGGCUGAGUUAUUCCAACAGAGGCAACACGCCUGUUUGCCAGUUCCUCUCCUGAGCCCCCGUCGUGCUGGCCUGGCUCCCGCUUGCACUAGGCCGCCCUGACCCUCACCCCACCUCUAAUCCUCUUGGGAUGAUUUUGGCCAAAGCUCUUCCUGUCUCUUGAACCCGGAAAGCUGCCUGAUAGCCCAGCCAUAGGCACUUCCUGGACUGCCGAGCGUCUGGGACACGCUGCAGAAGCCUGACAGAUUUAUGCUCUGCUUCUAGAGCAGUGGGUUUGGAGAGUUACACUGGGUGGGGCAGGGCACCGGUGAAAGGGAGAUGCAAAUGAAUCGUCUUAAAGAGCUUACCCAGGGAACAGCCGGCCGGCCCUGCAGUGAACAAUGAGGAUGGCUGGGGCGAAUUACCCGCUCAGCUGUCAUCCCUAAGCAGAGAAGUGUCAGAGGGGACCGGAGAGCCCAGGAAGCACGUAAGGAAAAAGCAAUCUGGGGCCCCCACCACCCAGGGAGGUGUGCUGGAGAGGGACAUCCACACCAACUUCCUGCCUGCCUUGCAGAGGCUGGAGAGCUCAUUCCCUGCAGCGAGGGCUUGGGAUGUCCUUCCCUGGGCUUUUCAGGGCCCUCGCAUAGUCAUGGGUCAAUGUGCCCCGCUGCCCGCCCCGCUUCCCCAGCCCAGGCCCUUCCCUGCUCUUAUGCCUCAUCUCCUGUGUCUGGGAGGAGGGUCUGGCUUUUCCUCCAGCAGCAUCUGGGGGCCCAGCGCCAGCCUCUUGACCCCCACCUUCGUGACUGUGGCAGAGGCUGAUCCGGGCCAGUUCUGCAGUGCUGCUCUGGGCUGGUUCCUGAGGGCCUGGACCUCCAGACUUUCUGGUGAUGUCGGCAGGCUCCUGACCCCCUGUAUUACAACUCUUUCUGCUUAAUACAGCCGCGUGUUACGGACUGGAUGCUUGUGUCCCCCACAAUUCAUAUGUUGAAACCCUAACCCCAAUAUGAUGGGAUUUGGAGGUAAACAGGCUUAGAUGAAGCCAUGUGGGUGGAGCCCCCAUGGGAUUAGAGUCCUUACGAGAAGAGAAAGCGAGACCGACGACCCCGCUCCUCUCUCAGGCACGUGAGGGCACAGCAAGAAGCGGCUACGUGCCAGCCAGAAAGAGAACUCUCCGGAAACUGAACUCACCGACCCCCCUCACCUUGGACUCCCUAGCCUCCAGAACUGUGAGAAAUAAAUGUGUGUUGCUUACA
This is a long non-coding RNA of Felis catus (domestic cat), 4685 nucleotides long. RefSeq lists it as uncharacterized. The record is from RefSeq and is a predicted model, not a curated record. The transcript is spliced from 3 exons. NCBI's taxonomy places the organism in Eukaryota, Metazoa, Chordata, Mammalia, Carnivora, Felidae.